UUAUGGGGUAGCGCUGGGGACAGGUGGCCGGGCCAAAGGUUCCGGGGGUCCUCCAUGAGAGUCGUGGAUGGGCCCCGCUGUCGGCUG
RNAcentral lists this small RNA (87 nucleotides) under Bison bison bison. Its description in RNAcentral is "NoRC associated RNA, pRNA (ENSBBBG00000017156.1)". The record is from RNAcentral. Lineage: Eukaryota; Metazoa; Chordata; Mammalia; Artiodactyla; Bovidae.